CACAGGCGAGACAUUGAGUUUUCCCUCUGGGAUUGUUGUUGUUUCUUCAGUUUUUUGGAGCUGGCACAGCACUGUAAAAACGUCACGUUUAUUGUCAGCUGUACCAGAGGACGCAGCAUGGCGCUCUUGGUUUAAAGAAAAAGGCUCAAGCAAUGGUAAUUCUGUGAGAUCACAGGAACUCACAGGCUUCUCCACCACAACCAGAUGACAAUCCACGGCAGAAGAAGAGUGGCAAUCGGGAGAGUCUGGAUCUUUCCCGGUGGCAACUCAUGUUUUGAGGCCAGCACUCCAACUCCAGCUCUGGACACUACUCACAGUUCUACAAUGCACUUAUGUUUGUGUGUAGUUAAAUGUGCCUAUUCAAAGCGUCUAUAUUAGCAAGUGUUAAAUGGCCUGUUUAGGUCUGUUCCAAACAUAUGCAUAUGCAUUGCAAUAUCCCUUUGGGA
Perca flavescens (yellow perch) is the source of this 446-nucleotide long non-coding RNA. RefSeq lists it as uncharacterized. The transcript has 3 exons. The record is from RefSeq and is a predicted model, not a curated record. NCBI's taxonomy places the organism in Eukaryota, Metazoa, Chordata, Actinopteri, Perciformes, Percidae.